GAAGAUAUAGCUCAAUUGGUAAAAUGUUUGCCUAGAAUGCAUGAAGUUCUGGGCUUGAUCCCCAGUUUUACA
This 72-nucleotide transfer RNA is filed under the name Mus musculus (house mouse). RNAcentral describes it as "tRNA-Ser". The record is from RNAcentral. Lineage: Eukaryota; Metazoa; Chordata; Mammalia; Rodentia; Muridae.